CGCUAGGAAGCUAAAUAGGGGAUAUAGCAUUGGCCUUUUAAGCCAAAGAUUGGUGAUUUCCGACCACCCCUAGCGA
RNAcentral lists this transfer RNA (76 nucleotides) under Garra rufa. RNAcentral describes it as "tRNA-Lys". It matches the Rfam family "tRNA". From Rfam's summary of the family: Transfer RNA (tRNA) molecules are approximately 80 nucleotides in length. Their secondary structure includes four short double-helical elements and three loops (D, anti-codon, and T loops). Further hydrogen bonds mediate the characteristic L-shaped molecular structure. tRNAs have two regions of fundamental functional importance: the anti-codon, which is responsible for specific mRNA codon recognition, and the 3' end, to which the tRNAs corresponding amino acid is attached (by aminoacyl-tRNA synthetases). tRNAs cope with the degeneracy of the genetic code in two manners: having more than one tRNA (with a specific anti-codon) for a particular amino acid; and 'wobble' base-pairing, i.e. permitting non-standard base-pairing at the 3rd anti-codon position. The record is from RNAcentral. Lineage: Eukaryota; Metazoa; Chordata; Actinopteri; Cypriniformes; Cyprinidae.